CAAUGUAAAAAGAAGUAUUUAACAAUCACAUCAGGGAAAAAAAAAAUCAAGCAAGUACUAUGACUACAGGGAAGUAUGCACAGAAAUAAAGCCCAACCUCAUUGCUCAUGUAACGAUGGAGAGUGGAAAAUGCACUUUACCAUCCCCAGACAUUGACAGAAGGAAGAGGUUUAAGGUUAAGUUAUUACCAGCUUUCCUACCUCCCAGAUUCAGUGAACUUUGUGAAUUCCUGCAUCUCAAGUCCCAUGUUUACCUGGACUACAAGCAAUCCUGUUGCAGAUGAUAAUAUCCACCCCCAAAAGCUACAAUUAGCAACUGAAGGAAGCAAGCUGAGUUGCUUUUCAGUUAAAUCAAAAAUCAAUUUAAAAGAAAAAUAAAAAUCUAAAGUAGUGGACAAACAUCCAAUUGUUACAUGGUAAAUUAGAAAGUAAAUACCAUCAUGGAGGAAAUUAAUUAAACAAGUUUAAGACUCACAUUAUUUACAACUUAGGCAUUUUAUACUUUCUGUCCCAGAGGCAUUGUAAGAAGAAGCAAUCCUACUCCCUCUUAACAGGCGUUAAUGCAAGAUCACACAAAGUCAGGGCAAAACCUACAGUUUUAUUAUGAACGCAUUUCUAGUUAUACACAAAUGCUAUCAAAUGGACAUUUUGGGGGCUUUUUUUGCCUCUAUUUUCUCAAGUAAAAGAAUAAACUAUAACAGUAGAUCAGUUUUCACAUUCAUACGCAACUACUUAAUAAUAGAAGAGCUGAACCUGAAAAAAGCUUACACAUUUCUUAUUUCAGGCAGAAAAGAAAAAAAGGCUGAUGAUAAGCUUCCAUUUAAAAAUUAAAUCAAGCAAAUGUUAGUUAGUUUCAGGGGUUCUAAGAAUACAAUAUUAAAUCUAUUUUUAACAUUUUACACUUAUUACAUGCCUCUAAAAACGCUUAGGCUGUGACUAGAAUUGAUGAGUUACUGUUUUUAUUUCUUACAGCACAUGCUCUGAGAUCCACGUGCCAUGAACUCUGCAGAGCAAGGGCAGGAAACAGAUUUAGUGAGGAUGUGAUGAACCAACUACUCUCUCUGGGCUAACAGACAGACUGAUGGUACAACUAGGGAAGACAUUGAUGUCAGGCUACCGAAGAGUAUAGCUGCAAACUGGAAGAAAAAUUCAAGCUGGUACAAAGACAUUAGAGGUGGUUGGCUUGUGCUCAGCUGGGUUUGCAGGCACGGCACCACAUCAGUGCAGCAUACAGCUUCCAAGGACAUGUCUGGUCUGCAAGCAGGCCAACUGCCUUCUUGCACUGCAAAGCCAAUAAAUAUGAAGGAGAAU
Molecule: long non-coding RNA, 1310 nt
Organism: Numida meleagris (helmeted guineafowl)
Lineage: Eukaryota; Metazoa; Chordata; Aves; Galliformes; Numididae
Exons: 3
Source: RefSeq, a predicted model, not a curated record